UCUUCAAAUCGAGGUAUUCUUUUCCAUAUCUGCAUUAAUUUAUAGCAUUAAAAACAGUACUGGACCUGGAGCAAUGGCUCAGCAGUUAAGAGCUUACAGAAGACCCAGGUUUAGAUCCCAGCACCCACAUGGCAGCUCACCACCACCUGUAACUCCAGUUCCAGGGAAUCCAAUGCAUUCUUCUGACCUCCUCAGGCUCCUCAUAUAUACUUAGGUACAUGUGUAUGCACACAUGCAUACAAAUAAAAGGUUUUUGCCUCUUUUCCCCACUAGAGGUACUUUUUUUUUAAGACCAUGGGAGACCACAGAUGACAUUUUCACAGUUAUGACAGCUUCCUAAUAAAAUUCUUAAAUGACUGGUGAUUUGAAUAUGCUUGGCCCAGUGAGCGGCACUAUUAGGAAGUGUCAUUGUGGGUGUGAGUAUGAGCUUUAAGACCUCGUCCUAGUUGCCUUGAAGUUAGCCUUCUCUAGUAACCUUCAGAUGAAGAUUUAGAACUCAGCUCCUCCAGCACCAUGCCUAUCUGAAUGCUGCCGUGCUCUUGCCUUGAUGAUAAAGAACUGAACCUCUGAAUUUGUAAGUCAGCCCCAAUUAAAUGUCCUUAUGAGAGUUGCCUUGGUCAUGGUGUCUGUUCACAGCAAUGAAACCCUAAGACAAUGACUAAGAUGAUACAGGAUUUUAAAUAUAUCAAUGUAACUUAAUAUUACAUUGUGUAUUAUGUAAUUGAUUAGUAUUUAAUGUAAUUUUUUUUACAAUUUAUAAAUAAAUCUUUGUAACAGGACUAACAUCAGUAGAAAUCUGCAGAAUGUUGAUAAUAAACCCAAGUUGUUUUCAUUGUG
Molecule: long non-coding RNA, 837 nt
Filed under: Rattus norvegicus (Norway rat)
Lineage: Eukaryota; Metazoa; Chordata; Mammalia; Rodentia; Muridae
Description: long non-coding RNA NONRATT016780
Source: RNAcentral